UGGGGAAUAUUGCACAAUGGGCGCAAGCCUGAUGCAGCCAUGCCGCGUGUGUGAAGAAGGCCUUCGGGUUGUAAAGCACUUUCAGCGAGGAGGAAGGUGGUGAACUUAAUACGUUCAUCAAUUGACGUUACUCGCAGAAGAAGCACCGGCUAACUCCGUGCCAGCAGCCGCGGUAAUACGGAGGGUGCAAGCGUUAAUCGGAAUUACUGGGCGUAAAGCGCACGCAGGCGGUUUGUUAAGUCAGAUGUGAAAUCCCCGGGCUCAACCUGGGAACUGCAUUUGAAACUGGCAAGCUAGAGUCUCGUAGAGGGGGGUAGAAUUCCAGGUGUAGCGGUGAAAUGCGUAGAGAUCUGGAGGAAUACCGGUGGCGAAGGCGGCCCCCUGGACGAAGACUGACGCUCAGGUGCGAAAGCGUGGGGCAGCAAACAGGAUUAGAUACCCUGGUAGUCCACGCUGUAAACGAUGUCGAUUUUGGAGGUUGUGCCCCUUGAGGCGUGGCUUCCGGAGCUAACGCGUUAAA
Molecule: ribosomal RNA, 520 nt
Filed under: uncultured bacterium
Lineage: Bacteria
Description: partial 16S ribosomal RNA
Rfam family: Bacterial small subunit ribosomal RNA
Source: RNAcentral